AGCUGAGUGGCGCAGCGGAAGCGCGUAAGUUUGUCUUAAGUCAAACCAUCUCAACAAUUGACUAACAAUUAUAAUAGGCCGGGCUCAUAACCCGGAGGGCACUGGAUCGAAACCAGUCUUAGCUA
Molecule: non-coding RNA, 125 nt
Organism: Delphinella strobiligena
Lineage: Eukaryota; Fungi; Ascomycota; Dothideomycetes; Dothideales; Dothioraceae
Source: the annotation of a GenBank genome assembly